GCGGUUUGGGAUCAUUAUGCCAGCAUCCUUGAUAAAAUCGCAGUCCUCGGUCUAGGCAGGCAGCAUCAACGCAGGCUAUAACACUUCACCGAAUUAAAGUCACAUUCCUACGCCAUUAUCCUACCGCCCAAACCGAUGCUGGCCCGAUAAGCUGCGGGUCACCCCGCCACGAAGGCAAGGCUCACAAAAUAUCGAGUCUGAUCUCAAACCCUUCCCUUUCAACAAUUUCACGUACUUUUUCACUCUCUUUUCAAAGUUCUUUUCAUCUUUCCAUCACUGUACUUGUUCGCUAUCGGUCUCUCGCCAAUAUUUAGCUUUAGAUGGAAUUUACCACCCACUUAGAGCUGCAUUCCCAAACAACUCGACUCUUCGAAAGCACCUUACAUAGAAUUGGGCAUCUCAUCGCACGGGAUUCUCACCCUCUGUGACGUCCUGUUCCAAGAAACAUAGACAAGAGCCAACCCCAAGGUUACAAUCUUCAAAUUACAACUCGGACACCGAAGGCGCCAGAUUUCAAAUUUGAGCUUUUGCCGCUUCACUCGCCGCUACUAAGGCAAUCCCUGUUGGUUU
This 570-nucleotide ribosomal RNA is filed under the name Meyerozyma guilliermondii. RNAcentral's name for it is "partial large subunit ribosomal RNA". The record is from RNAcentral. Lineage: Eukaryota; Fungi; Ascomycota; Pichiomycetes; Serinales; Debaryomycetaceae.